CAGGAUGUAGCUUACAUAAAGCCUCUCGCUUACGCCGGGAAGACAUCUAAUUAACUAAGAUCACCCUGA
RNAcentral lists this transfer RNA (69 nucleotides) under Occidozyga baluensis. RNAcentral's name for it is "tRNA-Val". The record is from RNAcentral. Lineage: Eukaryota; Metazoa; Chordata; Amphibia; Anura; Dicroglossidae.